This 974-nucleotide long non-coding RNA is filed under the name Olea europaea subsp. europaea. Lineage: Eukaryota; Viridiplantae; Streptophyta; Magnoliopsida; Lamiales; Oleaceae. The record is from RNAcentral.
UUUCAAUUACCAUACUCUACAAAACAACAAAUCAUAAAAAAUUUGGAAGACCAAGCAAAGAAGAAAAGCAAGAGAGACCUUUCCACAGUAAUUUACCACCGCCGAAAUCUGAUUGUUCGAAAAUUAUCAGACUACUGCAAUCACAAAUUGAAAGCUAUCAGAAGAAAGAACAAAGAUAGAAUUUAUAGAGUACUCGUCGGAGCAAAUAACUUCGAAACCUGGUUAAUUGAAAUAUGUCGGAUAAUUUAAGUUAAAAGUUGGAAGUUGUCGGCACUAUGUACUAAAAGAUCGAACAAGAAAAAGAUUUACAGAGAACUCAUCAAAGCAAAUAACUUCAAUUCUCAUUGUCAAAAUCUGGUUAAUUGAAAUUCGUCGGACAUUUGGGUUCACAAAUUAGAAGUUGUUGGCACUGUGUAUCAGAAUUUUUGAAGGCAACGAUCGAGAAAUCAAUGGCAUGUGACCAGUUCUCUUGAAUUUGUGACCUAUGACCUGUAAAUUGUGAUAUUGAUCCAAUGGCCCGUCACCAAUUCUCUUGGAUCUUUGGUCACCUAUAACCUAUAACAUAUAAGUUGUAACCUAUUAUCAGUGCACGAAAAUAUACGACUCUGAUAUGUGACCAAUAAAUUUUGAUUCGUGGUCUAUUGGCAUUGAUCUGUGACCUAUAUAAUAUGAUCUGUGAAGUGCAAUAUGUGACCUAUGAACAUAAAUUAGUGAUAUGUGACCAGAUGGACAUGUGGCAUUUGAUCCGUGACCAAUUAAUUUUGAUAUGUGACCUGUUGACAUUAAUCUAUAGCCUAUAUAAUAUGAUUUGUGAAAUGUGACCUGUGAACUAAACAUGUGACUUGUAAACAUAAAUGGGUGAUUUGUGAUCAAUUCUAUUUGAUCUGUGACAUGUGGACAUUGGGUUGUCCACAUGUGAACAAAUAUGUGACCUUUAAACUGUGAACAAAUAGUGAGUCCUGAUUACAAAUUUA